AGCAUGUUUGGGAAGCGAGAGGAAGGAAUGUAGGUACUGUAAUUUCUAUAUUUAGCUCCUUCUCUUCAAGCCCCUCUCCAACCCCCCUCAUUUGGAUACAAAAAUAAAAAUAAAAAAGCCCCCCUCCUCUUUUAACCAUGCAGUCCCCAUUCAAUUAAUUCUUAAAAUCAUGAAAUAUAUUGCAUUUCUGCAGUAUUUUAAUAAAAUAUAUUACAACGGUAACUCUGAAUAUGGACAUUUUUUAAUGGUAACCAGACUUAUUG
Molecule: non-coding RNA, 263 nt
Organism: Paramuricea clavata
Lineage: Eukaryota; Metazoa; Cnidaria; Anthozoa; Malacalcyonacea; Plexauridae
Source: the annotation of a GenBank genome assembly